ACGGAGGGGGCAAGCGUUGUUCGGAAUUAUUGGGCGUAAAGGGCGCGUAGGCGGAUUGGCAAGUCUGACGUGAAAUCUCCACCACUCAACGGGGAGAGGUCGUUGGAUACUACCGAUCUGGAGUUUGGUAGAGGGUCGUGGAAUUCCAGGUGUAGCGGUGGAAUGCGUAGAUAUCUGGAAGAACACCGGUGGCGAAGGCGGCGACCUGGGCCAAAACUGACGCUGAUGCGCGAAAGCUAGGGGAGCAAACGG
This 252-nucleotide ribosomal RNA is filed under the name uncultured prokaryote. RNAcentral's name for it is "partial 16S rRNA". It matches the Rfam family "Bacterial small subunit ribosomal RNA", at positions 525 to 775 of the family's 1533-position model. The record is from RNAcentral.